Molecule: non-coding RNA, 267 nt
Organism: Nerophis ophidion (straightnose pipefish)
Lineage: Eukaryota; Metazoa; Chordata; Actinopteri; Syngnathiformes; Syngnathidae
Product: small Cajal body-specific RNA 6
Exons: 1
Source: RefSeq, a predicted model, not a curated record
GGUCCAUGAUGAGCAGUAAAAGGUUUGAGCUUAGACUAUUCCCCCCAGCCGCCAUGUUGGCUCCCAGCAGCCCCUGCUGUUACCCCAGCAUGCUAAAGUUGUGCAGUGCUGGUCCAGGCUCUGCUGACAAGCAGGAUGUGACGUCACAAGCGACCUGUAGGGAGCGUUCACAGGCCGGCUGACUUACAUCCGACACAAGCGAGCACGAAGGAGCGCCAGGCUGGGGCGGGAGAGUCUAAGCGGUGAUCGCACUCUUCUGCUGAGACC